Molecule: ribosomal RNA, 245 nt
Filed under: uncultured Eubacteriales bacterium
Lineage: Bacteria; Bacillati; Bacillota; Clostridia; Eubacteriales
Description: uncultured Clostridiales bacterium partial 16S ribosomal RNA
Rfam family: Bacterial small subunit ribosomal RNA
Source: RNAcentral
UACGUAGGUGGCGAGCGUUGUCCGGAAUCACUGGGCGUAAAGGGCGCGUAGGCGGCAUCACAAGUCGCAUGUGAAAAACCAGGGCUCAACCCUGGGGGGUCAUGCGAAACUGUGGAGCUUGAGUGCAGUAGAGGGAAGCGGAAUUCCUGGUGUAGCGGUAAAAUGCGUAGAGAUCAGGAGGAACACCGGUGGCGAAGGCGGCUUUCUGGGCUGCAACUGACGCUGAUGCGCGAAAGCGUGGGGAG